ANCAACNNNCUUAGAUAAAAUUNGUCUGNNAACUGCGAUGGNUCAUUAAUCAGUUAUAGUUUAUUUGAUGGUGCUUUACUACAUGGAUAACUGUGGUAAUUCUAGAGCUAAUACAUGCAAUCAAGCCCCGACUUCUCGGAAGGGGUGUAUUUAUUAGAUAAAAAACCNAACGCGGUUCGCCGCUCCCUUGGUGAUGCAUAAUAACUUCUCGGAAUCGCAUGGCCUUGUGCCGGCGAUGCUUCAUUCAAAUAUCUGCCCUAUCCACUUUCGAUGGUAGGAUAGAGGCCUACCAUGGCUUCAACGGNUAACNGGGGNAAUAAGGGGUNCGGAUUCCGGAGAAGGGAACCUGAAUAAACGGCUACCCACAUCCNAAGGAA
Molecule: ribosomal RNA, 377 nt
Filed under: Bjerkandera sp. BASZUP0801
Lineage: Eukaryota; Fungi; Basidiomycota; Agaricomycetes; Polyporales; Phanerochaetaceae
Description: partial 18S rRNA
Rfam family: Eukaryotic small subunit ribosomal RNA
Source: RNAcentral